GAACGCUGGCGGCAUGCCUAACACAUGCAAGUCGAACGGUAACGCGGAGAGCUUGCUCUCUGGCGACGAGUGGCGGACGGGUGAGUAAUACUUGGGAAUCUGCCCAGUAGUGGGGGACAACAUUCGGAAACGGAUGCUAAUACCGCAUACGCACUACGGUGGAAAGUGGGGGAUCUUCGGACCUCACGCUAUUGGAUGAGCCCAAGUCGGAUUAGCUUGUUGGUGAGGUAAAAGCUCACCAAGGCGACGAUCCGUAGCUGGUCUGAGAGGACGAUCAGCCACACUGGGACUGAGACACGGCCCAGACUCCUACGGGAGGCAGCAGUGGGGAAUAUUGGACAAUGGGCGCAAGCCUGAUCCAGCAAUGCCGCGUGUGUGAAGAAGGCCUGCGGGUUGUAAAGCUACUUUCAGUAGAGAAGAAAGCCGUAGGGUUAAUACCCCUGAGUCUUGACGUAACCUACAGAAGAAGCACCGGCUAACUCCGUG
Molecule: ribosomal RNA, 486 nt
Filed under: uncultured bacterium
Lineage: Bacteria
Description: bacterial SSU rRNA
Rfam family: Bacterial small subunit ribosomal RNA
Source: RNAcentral